AUACGGAGGGUGCAAGCGUUAUCCGGAUUCACUGGGUUUAAAGGGAGCGUAGGUGGGUUGGUAAGUCAGUGGUGAAAUCUCCGAGCUUAACUUGGAAACUGCCAUUGAUACUAUCAGUCUUGAAUACUGUGGAGGUAAGCGGAAUAUAUCAUGUAGCGGUGAAAUGCUUAGAUAUGAUAUAGAACACCGAUAGCGAAGGCAGCUUACUACGCAGUUAUUGACACUGAGGCUCGAAAGCGUGGGGAUCAAACAGGAUUAGAUACCCUGGUAGUCCACGCCCUAAACUAUGGAUACUCGACAUCAGCGAUACACAGUUGGUGUCUGAGCGAAAGCAUUAAGUAUCCCACCUGGGAAGUACGUCCGCAAGGAUGAA
This 373-nucleotide ribosomal RNA is filed under the name uncultured bacterium. Its description in RNAcentral is "bacterial SSU rRNA". It matches the Rfam family "Bacterial small subunit ribosomal RNA", at positions 523 to 898 of the family's 1533-position model. The record is from RNAcentral.